CGUUACCUACAGAAGAAGCACCGGCUAACUCCGUGCCAGCAGCCGCGGUAAUACGGAGGGUGCGAGCGUUAAUCGGAAGUUACUGGGGCGUAAAGCGCAUGCAGGCGGCCUGUUAAAGUCAGAUGUGAAAGACCCGGGGCUUAACCUCGGAAUUGCAUUUGAAACUGGCAGGCUAGAGUCUUGUAGAGGGGGGUAGGAAUUUCAGGUGUAGCGGUGAAAUGCGUAGAGAUCUGAAGGAAUACCAGUGGCGAAGGCGGCCCCCUGGACAAAGACUGACGCUCAGAUGCGAAAGCGUGGGGAGCAAACAGGAUUAGAUACCCUGGUAG
Molecule: ribosomal RNA, 326 nt
Filed under: uncultured bacterium
Lineage: Bacteria
Description: bacterial SSU rRNA
Rfam family: Bacterial small subunit ribosomal RNA
Source: RNAcentral